GAUGAACGCUGACAGAAUGCUUAACACAUGCAAGUCGAUUCGAUUUACCUUCGGGUAUUGAGGAUGGCGGACGGGUGAGUAACGCGUAAGGAACUUGCCUCUUGGUCUGGGACAACUGUUGGAAACGACAGCUAAUACCGGAUAUUAUGAGAUUCUCGCAUGGGAAACUUAUGAAAGCUAUAUGCGCCAAGAGAGAGCCUUGCGUUCCAUUAGCUAGUUGGUGGGGUAACGGCCCACCAAGGCGACGAUGGAUAGCCGGCCUGAGAGGGUGAACGGCCACAAGGGGACUGAGACACGGCCCUUACUCCUACGGGAGGCAGCAGUGGGGAAUAUUGGACAAUGGGCCACAAGCCUGAUCCAGCAAUUCUGUGUGCACGAUGAAGGUCUUCGGAUUGUAAAGUGCUUUCAGUUGGGAAGAAGAAAGUGACGGUACCAACAGAAGAAGCGACGGCUAAAUACGUGCCAGCAGCCGCGGUAAUACGUAUGUCGCAAGCGUUAUCCGGAUUUAUUGGGCGUAAAGCGCGUCUAGGCGGAAAAAUAANUCUGANGNUAAAAUGCGGGGCUCAACUCCGUAUUGCGUUGGAAACUGUUUUUCUAGAGUACUGGAGAGGUGGGCGGAACUACNAGUGUAGAG
RNAcentral lists this ribosomal RNA (634 nucleotides) under uncultured prokaryote. RNAcentral describes it as "bacterial SSU rRNA". It matches the Rfam family "Bacterial small subunit ribosomal RNA", at positions 28 to 680 of the family's 1533-position model. The record is from RNAcentral.